This is a long non-coding RNA of Leopardus geoffroyi (Geoffroy's cat), 6475 nucleotides long. RefSeq lists it as uncharacterized. The transcript is spliced from 4 exons. The record is from RefSeq and is a predicted model, not a curated record. NCBI's taxonomy places the organism in Eukaryota, Metazoa, Chordata, Mammalia, Carnivora, Felidae.
UUCAGGGCCUUCGGAGAAUACGCAGAAUGUGUAAGUGCCACACUUUUGAAGGCAACAAUGUUUGGCUCCUUGCCUAACGAUAGAGGCAGAUAUCAUGGGAGCCCAGGAGUGCGUGUGACCCCUACAGCCAGCACUAAUGAGUAUGGUAUUUUUACGCUGGGGACAAAGAGUUAAGACUAUAAACAGUAUCCUAUCUCUGGGUUUUAAGCAACUUUUUAACAGGUUUUUUAGAAACUUAGACUAAACUUUUCUUGUAUUGAGUUUUAAAGCUAUUUUGCGAGCUAAUUACAUUAGGAACUAACGCAAAGGAAAUUAUGUCUUGGAACUUUGCAACCUUUUACACUUUCUACUUUGGUAGUUGGUUAUAAAUGAGGGUGGUGGAUGAUGGUGGGCAGGACCAGUGCAGUAGUAUUUGACUUAUAUGACCGAAUGGAAAAGGGACAACCACUGAUCUCAUUAUGCAUUAAAAUAUAAGCAUAUAAUUUAAUGAUGGCACUGUGUAACCACCACUGAUGUCAAGAAAGAAAAGACUGCCAGCCUUCCACAUGUUGGUUCCUAGUUACGGCCCUUAUCCCCACAGGUAACCACUAUUGUGACCUGCAGAGUAAUUCCUUUUUUUAUACCCAUGCUCCUCAAAGCAUGGUCUGGCAUGAGCAUCAUCUGGGAACUUGUUAGAAAUGCAAAUUCUUGGGCCCUCCCCUAGACCUAACACAUGUACACAUUUUUGUGUGUAGGAUGCAUAUUUAUGUGAAUUAAAGUAUAAAGCAGUAAUUCUCAAGCUUUAGCAUGUAUCAGCUUGGAUGGCCCAUUAAAACAGAGAUGCUGGGGCCUACACCGACGGUUUUUGAUGAUCUCUUUAUGGUGGUUUUAUUCCCUGAUUCUAAUUUUCUUAUGUGCUGGGUAUCUUUGACUCUGUGCUAGUCAUUGCACUUGACAUGUUAUUUUGCAGGAAUAACUAACUGUGAGGCCUAUAAAGAAGGUACUUUACCCCAAAGAGCAUUUGCAUUUGCUUCUGCCAGGCACCUGGGGGCGCCAUCAGUCUGGGAUCGCCUGUUCAGAGUUUGAUAUAUCCUGGACAAUGCAAGGGAUUUUUACCAUGUUUUAAUUCUCUUUAGAUUAUUCCAAUUCUUGCUCCCUUCAUUCUGAGAUCCUGGAACCCAGGUUGUUGUAGGGGAAGGCCUCCUGUCAGGUCCCCCAACUUGUAUGGAUCUAGAGUUAGUUCUCUUCUAUACCCUGAAAGGCCAUAAAACGGGAGGUUCUAGUUUUCUGGGAUUAGCUAGUGCUAUCAGGACAAAAGUGGCUUCAGGCUUGUUCCCUUCUCUAGAUCCUUGACUUCUCUUUACUUUCGGCCUGAUGAUUCCUUGCUAUUUUAUAAUCUCUUUGAUGCCUUUGAAAAGAUUAUUUAAAUAUAUUUUAUCCAGUCUUUUUAGUUGUAUUCAGCUGUAGGACUGAUGUGAACAACCUGAACCAAACCUUUACCAAAAGGGAAAUCUGGAAAAUACAUUAUUAAUACACAGUAUUUUUUCAAAAUACUGUGGUUUUUCAAAACAUUAAGAAUCUAUGGAUAUUUAUAUCCUUAAAAAAAAACUUUUAUCUUUAGCUGACAACUUCACCCAGACAUGGGACACACAAGAUGGUUUGGGUACAAAACUUUCAAUAUGAAAAGCUUGCAUAUUUACAACUUUUAACCACUCCUAAAGGCUCUGAUAUUUCUGGUGGGUUCCGAGGAAUGCUUCCCACAAAUGCAGAGCCUUCCAAAAUGCAGAGAUAUGCCUAGUGCAGGCUCCAUUUUGCAGUUUAUGGCACUUUCUAUGAGGUUUAAUUUUACCCUUAGCUUUAAACAGUCUGGACACACCAAAUUUAGGAAACAUAGAUGGCUUACACAUUUAUCCCUAGGACAUGGGAUAGCAUGUGGAAUGCCCCAAAUUUUUACCGGCAAGUUCUAAGCACUUGAUGAAUUUUAACCACCUCUCUCUCCCCCACAAAAAGUAGGUUAUAUCAUCUUUUUCCUCCCUGAUUGACUCCAAUGUCAUGUUGAUCCCUUAAGAUAGGCAAGAUUCUCAGGGAGAAAGUACCCCAUCUCAACCCAUUGCUGAUGAAUCAGAAUACAUUCUUUCUGGGUAGAGCUAAAUCUUUUAUAGUUAUCUUUAGAUAUAUUUUGAAGGGGUUUGGAGAUGGCAAUACACUAAUGCUACACACGUGAAUUUGGGAAGGAAACUGGCAGGCUUUCCAGAUGUCAAGAGAUUGUUGGGAAUUUGGUGAGAUACUUUAUUUUGAACACUCUCACUGGGGUUGACAAUUAGGAUGUGUAGCAAUCUGUGUAGGCUAGGCUUGAGGUAGGAAUCAACAAACUCUGAGAGCUAUUUGUAGAGUCCUUUAAAGAUACUUGACGGUCAUUUGAUGAGCGUCAGGAUCCCCUGAAGGUGGUAAGGCUUGCUUGCAGUGGAGCCCAUGACCCCUGUAAGUUGUGGGUCAGGAUAAAUGCCAGAUUUUAAUCUUCAUGGUAGCAAGCAUUAGCUCCUCUCAGAUAAAGGCUAUAACCCAACUAGUUAGAGCAGAGAAUGCCUUAAGGCUGUAGAGCACAUGCUGCUCCCCAGUGCCUUUCUUUUCCUUCCCGAAGAUGUGCCCAAAAUCUAUGGGCUUAUGGCACGAGUGCAGGAUGGGCCUCCCACCAGGUCAGAGGGACACUGAGUCUCCUGAGUCUGUGUUUUUCUUUAUCAGUUCAUAGAAGAUGAUGUUCUAGCUACCUUGUUGCUGAACCUAAAGUUCAUGUUUUGAGUACAGACUUUCAAACUAUACCAUAGGAUGCAGGAACUUUAUAGUUCAGAGGUACAAAUAAUGGUUGGGGAAAGGGUGCUUUGUAUAUAACACGGGGCUUUCAAACCAGGGGAUUUCUUAAGUUACAAUAUUUUUAAAAAGUCAUGACCCGCCACAAUCCACAUGACUUUUGUGUGGACCAGCACAUUGAUCUCCAGACCAACAUGAUGCCAUCAUUCAUUAUUUUCACAUAACUCGUCCCUUAAAAUAGAAAUAUUGCUUUCACAAAUAAUAAACUUCCUUAUUAUAAAUUCCUACUUUACUAAAUGGUAUGGAGAACUAGGACCACAUGGAAGUCCGCUCAGUUUAACCAUUUACUUAUGGACGUAUGUUAUUGAAUCCCAAGUGUUUGGGCAGUGGUCUGGGAUGUAGGCAUUUUCCCUGUUUAAUAAUACAUGCCCCUUCUCCCUCCCCAGCUAAAAUAUAAUCUUAAGGACAUGUGGAUAUAGACAACCAUAUAUCUUAUGGUUACCAUUUCUUCAGCAUUACUGUUGCAUAGCUGGUCAUCUAUAGCUCUAUCACUGAUCUCUGAAGUAGCCCUAUCAAUCUGAACGUUGGAAAUUAUAUAGAGAGCCUUCCAUUUAUCAUCCCUUUUAAACGUAGCCUUUGUGUAGGCUAUCCAGCUUCUGGACUUUGCCUGGUUUUUUAUUCAGUACCAUGAUUUACCAUCCCUCAAUUGUUAUAGAAUAAAGUAUGUACCUCUAGCAGUUGGGCUAUGUAUUAUUCUGUAUCUGCAGCCUCUAGGCUAAUUAGAUAACUUGGUAUAUAGCCAAACAAGUGAUUUAGUAUCUUCUUGAGGAAAUUCAAUUACUACAGGUGCUCUGAAUCACCUGAGAUGUCUAGGGCAAUGACUGUGAUCAUUCAAAGUAAAACUCAUAUAAUCAGUGUUUUUUUUUUUAAAUGUACACACACACACACACACACACACACACACACACACACACACACUAGAAUGAGGACUAUUUGCUUGCUGGCUGUAACCUUAUUUAAAUUGGUAUUAUAGCUAGCCCUUCCAUAAUUAAUCUUCACUGUCUUCAGUGCAGGUAGCAGAAUCCUCUUUGUGUUUCUUUCAGAAAGUUUCCAUGCAGAGUUAGCUCCAGCUACAGCAAUAUGUCAUAGGCAUUGAACUUUGGGGCAAUGACUGGUCAGAGCUCCAAGCCAAAGAGUCCCCCGAAGAGAGCACUCUACUCACCUUCCUCACUGGGAACUAAUACCUGGAAUAGUACCAUACACAUCUUUGUCAUACUGAACUUCUUUGUCUUACUAAAAUAAAGUUUUCUUUAAGAAGACUCUUCAGUGAGGAUGACUUUAAGAACAUGGCCAGGACAACCAGUGUUCUCAAGGGAGGAGAUGGCAGACUCAUUGGUUUGGCAGCAGCCCAGGCCAGUUUUUCCCCUGCAACUUUCCAAGCUUGUUUCUGUAGUGGUUGGAGCCAAAUAACCACUCGUAGACUUUGUUAUAGAAGGAAUGGUGAAGUCCUAUACAAAGAGCAGAAUGGGGUCAGCUAGAUGCUUUCUAUAGGUAGCUAAACUCAUCAUUUAGUCAAACUAGGAUGAACUGUGAUAGGCAGCUAAAGGUUCUUUUCUGUGUGGGGAGAAAAGGAGAGGAUGGGGCAGAGAUAGUAUUGUAUCUUCCCUAUUUGUAUUACCUAUUCAGUGUUUUCAGGCCUGUUCUCUCUGUUAGCCUGUAGACUCCUGCAAGGGUACUUGUGACUUGCUGUUCCUGAAACAUUUGUGUCUCAACCACACCCCACACUAGACCCCACCUUCCAUAGCCGCGCGUCUGUUACUUGCACAUAAAGCCUCUGUUCCCAAAUGUUCCCAGUGGAGGAAGUGGCCUAAUUUGGGGUCACUGGCUUCCCUCUAGGGGCAGUUGUCUUGGAACUGUCUGAAGUUUGAACAUAGGGUUGAAGGGCAGACAGUAUGGUUAACAAUCUUAUUAUUUCUCUUGGUAUUUCCUUACCAUGACAGUAAAGGUUGCCCAUCAAUUUGGGCCUCUUUUGGCCUGUCUUUUAAUAGCCAGACCAACCGGUCUUUCCACUGAGAACCUCUUUUUUUCUCUUUUUUAUAUCCCCCCACCCAUUUUCUUUUGGUUAUUUGGGGUGCUGAAAUUCCCAGAAGUCUUCCUAAGCCAUCUUUUCCAAAAUUAUGCAUAGAGACUGCUAGUUACCUACCACUCUAGUCAUUCUUCUUAUGAACAGAAAAAAAAAAAAAAUACAUUGUCUGUCCUCCACUACCAGUAAGGAUGACACAGUGUGACACAGUCUUGUCAAUGAGGGGUAACUAAAUGUGUUAAGAGAAGUUUCUAGUAAAGCUCCUUAAAAAGAGGUAACUUCAGAGCACACACACUUUUGCUCUAAUUUCUGCCCCUUCUUCCUGUCUGUAUCUUAGGGGAGAUGCUAGACACGGAACAGGCAUCUUGUAACAAUACAACCAUGUGAGAAAAGCCAAGUGAAAAGCUUGGGUCACCUCUGAAAAGACUGGGUUAACAGGACACAUAGGCACUGUGUGUGAACUCAAAACUGCAUAAUUUUUGCACACUGCCACCAUCCCUGCUGCCUUAGGUUGUAAAGAAAACAAAUCCCUUUGUGUACAACAGAUCUGUACUGCUCUUAUAUCUCUAACACUGUUUGCGGGAGGACUGUGCUGCCAUAAUUUACUCUUACCAUCUGCGACUUAGACAUUUUUUUACACCUAAAUUCUUUAAAAAAUAGCCGUGUGUACCUCUUUGCUGUAAGUUCAAAACUUGACAUUUCUUAUCAAUGGAAGGUCUAAGAUCCUCCAGUGGAGUACAGGUAUACAAUUUGAAAACAAUUUGGUUGGCAAUAAGUUCAUUAAUUUUGACAAUUAGACUUUAAAAAUUAGUACCACAUAUAUGUUAGAAUAGUAGUACUAUAAAUGUACCAUGAAAUGGUUUUGUAACACAUUACCAAUUUUAAAUGUGUAGAUCCAUAUUUUAAGUUUUGUGGAGAUGAAUUACUCUCUUUUUAGAUCCCUAUUUAUUUUCAGCCAGUCAUUCCAGCUUUGUAUUAUUUGUAAUAGUGAAACACUGAAACAGGUUCAGACCUAAAAAUAUAAAGGGUUAUUGCAACAGCUUACGGAGUUACACAAAAGUUAUGUAUUACUUAAUUGUGGCCACAAAAUAAAAUCUACAACUCCCUCAGUUUACAGAAAGAUCACUUCUGUAUGCACAUAUAUAUUAUCAAGCCGUUACUGUUAUUUUCCUAGAUAAAUGGGCUAAUAGAAUCUUUUAGUGUCCUAUUUAAUUUUUCUGUAAUGAACUGUUAUUAACUUUUCAUAAGAACGAUUUUUAAAAAUGAAAAGACUUCCUCUUGAUGGACAUUUAACAAGAGAAACAAAAAGUGUUGCUGAGAAAUGAAGAGCAUUCAGGAACAGCAGGAACCAGUGGACGCUCACUUUUGCUGCUGAGAUACCAUCACCGAUGACCCAGACUGCUCCAGGCUCAUGAACUGCUCCUGAGCUGCUUGUAGGACCUGCGUGGCCACGAGCCCUGGUUGCAAUGCCAGAGAUGCCCUCUCAUGUCUGCCUUUACUUCCACAUGUUGCCUUGCCCCAUCCCAUGCUCACGUGUCUCUCUGAUGCUUAAAAAGUGUGUUUUCGUGUAUUCAAUAAACGCUAGAAUUUGAGUUAUAUGCCAAA